ACCCGCUGAACUUAAGCAUAUCAAUAAGCGGAGGAAAAGAAACCAACAGGGAUUGCCCUAGUAACGGCGAGUGAAGCGGCAACAGCUCAAAUUUGAAAUCUGUGCGUCUUUGGCGUCCGAGUUGUAAUUUGCAGAGGGCGCUUUUGCAUUGGCAGCGGUCCAAGUUCCUUGGAACAGGACGUCACAGAGGGUGAGAAUCCCGUACGUGGUCGCUAGCCUUUACCGUGUAAAGCCCCUUCGACGAGUCGAGUUGUUUGGGAAUGCAGCUCUAAAUGGGAGGUAAAUUUCUUCUAAAGCUAAAUACUGGCCAGAGACCGAUAGCGCACAAGUAGAGUGAUCGAAAGAUGAAAAGCACUUUGGAAAGAGAGUUAAAAAGCCCGUGAAAUUGUUGAAAGGGAAGCGCUUGCAACCAGACUUGCCUGUAGUUGCUCAUCCGGGUUUUUACCCGGUGCUCUCUUCUAGAGGCAGGCCAGCAUCAGUUUGGGCGGUUGGAUAAAGGUCUCUGUCAUGUACCUCUCUUCGGGGAGAACUUAUAGGGGAGACGACAUGCAACCAGCCCGGACUGAGGUCCGCGCAUCUGCUAGGAUGCUGGCGUAAUGGCUGU
RNAcentral lists this ribosomal RNA (604 nucleotides) under uncultured fungus. RNAcentral's name for it is "eukaryotic LSU rRNA". It matches the Rfam family "Eukaryotic large subunit ribosomal RNA", at positions 23 to 641 of the family's 3401-position model. The record is from RNAcentral. Lineage: Eukaryota; Fungi.